Biomphalaria glabrata is the source of this 1382-nucleotide long non-coding RNA. RefSeq lists it as uncharacterized. The record is from RefSeq and is a predicted model, not a curated record. Lineage: Eukaryota; Metazoa; Mollusca; Gastropoda; Planorbidae. The transcript has 3 exons.
UAUAUAGAAUCUAGCUUUAGUUGACUCUAGACUAGAUCUAGGAUAAUUUCAAGUCUAGAUGUUCAGCUUCAUCUUACCUUGAUCAUGAUGAUUAAUUUUAAUCUGACUUCCUGACUUGUUAACUUAAACUUCGUCUUACUUAGCCCUUAGUCGCCUUAGCCUUAGCUUCUUCAUAUGUGAAUCAUGAAUGGAAGUGCUUGGCUCACAGUGUCACAGAUCGUUCUUUAAACUAUUUGAAGAUCUACUUUAUCUUUACUAACGACUCUAAUCUAUAUCUAGUUUAUGUCUAUAUUUUAUAUGAUAAUAAUAGACAUAGACUCUUAUACUUAUAAUAAAGACAAAGUUAUAAGAUCUAGAUCUAGAAUCUGUAUCUAGAUCUAUUCCCAUUUGUGAUUUAUACACUACAGAUUUAAUGUUUCUGAUGAGCAAUACUACUAUCUACAGCCAUGCCCAUUAAUAUAGGCCCUACUCAUGUACUAGAUCUAGCUCUUUUGAUCACAACUCAUAUCUUGCCUAGAUAUAAACAACUGUACUAGAUUGGACUAGACAUUCUAAUCGGUUCUAUUUUCGUUUUUCAUUAUUCUCACAUAUUCUAGUAGGCAAUAGGUACCAAAUUGUGCUAUUUAUUCACUGUAGAUCUAGAUCUUAACUUUUCUCUUAACUACCAAAGAAGUACACAAAGGAUGUUGAAAGGUACCCAAAGGGCUCUUAUUGCUACCAUUCAAUGUGUGGAAUCAAGUAUUUACCCAGAUACUGCCACAAUAUGCUCUUAUUGUUUUCAAAGGAGUUUUCACACAGUGCCAGAAGCUGUAUAAAUACAUUUAACAAUGUAUAUUUCAAGAAGAAAUGAUGCUUUCUUAUUUCUAAGAGUUUAUCAAUAGGAUGAAUGCCACAAAACUCACUUGUUAUGCCAGAAACUCUUCCUACGAAACUUCCAUACUAGAAUUUGUCCAGUGCCUGUGAUCCUCUGAGUUGAAUGAGAAUGUGCUCCAUAAUACCUACUAGGAGCUUGCUGAUAGCUGGAAGUUCAUGAAUACUAUGUUGUCCUUGAUUUGAUGAUUCUGAAAACUACCAUUUCUGAAGACUUGAGCAUUAUUUCUAUAAUUUAAAAAAAUCUUUUCAGGAAAUAUUGUGUUUAUAAUAUUAAGAAAGGGAAGAUAAUAUUGUUCUUACUAAUAUUAUUGACUUAUUAAAAUAGAAAGCACAUCAUUACCAAUAUUCACUUGUCAAUAAAUGUUAGCAUUAUUCAAUUUUUAGUUACAUGUUCAAACUAUUAAAUUUUAUUAUUUAAAUUAUAGCAACUUUCUCUUUCAGUCCAGCUUAAGAUACAUUCCUGUAAAAAGUCUAUAAUAAUAAGUUAAUGUCGAUGUAGUACUGUUCAG